ACCAAAGGCAAAGGUAACACACUUAUUUUAACACACACACACACACACACACACGCAUAACAAGCAUGAAUACAAUGACAAAAAUACAUACACACAAUAAAAGACACAAACAAAGUGUUCAGUGCUGCCUCUUAUAGCCACAGAGCUGCCUCAGUUAACCCCAGUUCUAUUAAUUCAGGGUCACCUCUAACACACACACACACAGAAAUGACAGCGCAGCCAAUUGCCAUCUUCUGUAAUCAACAGAUAAUGGUUACUUAGGGUUUUUUUUCCCAGUCUAAGUUUGUACUAUCAUGAUUGUAGGUCCGUUGAUGAAGCUGUUUGAUUUGACUGUAAUAACCGUUACCGCAUAUGAUGCAAUGGUUGAUGUACACUACAGGCCAAAAGUUUUGAAGCAAGGCCAUUACAGGCCAAACAGUUGGGAGUAACUUCAAGUUUUUGUUCACAAUGCUUUUUUUUUAAAUCCAGCAUGAGUUUUAUGUAUUUUGGGAUGUAUUUACUCCAUGAUCAGAUGUUGCCUUCAUGGAAAUGCACCAUUUUACUCCAUUUAACUUUAGAUAUACAUUGAUGUUAACAGACAAUUGCUAAAUAUAUUAUUCAGCAAAAGAUAAUGAGGGCUUAGUUUUAGGGUUGAAAACAUUUGCAAGAGUCACAACUUCAGUGCAAAAACAAAUCACAGUUGGAUUAUUCACUUCAACUUUUUGGCUUUUGAGAGCCUGCAUACAAAAAUCCUAAUAAAUCUCAACUACAUUCAAACUACCACAAAAAUGGCUAGAAAGAAGCAACUGAGUAAAGAAACAAAAGUACAUAUUUGUACAUUGAGGAAAGAAGGAUACACAGAAAGAGAAAUUGCAAAACACCUAAAGGUGUUUAACAAAGGAGUCCGCUACAAUCUGAUGAGACUAAAAGAACCUGGAAGUUAUGAUGAUAGAAAAAGACCUGGACGAAAGAGAGUUACUUAAAAAGCAGAGGAUAAACAUAUCAUUGUUACCAGUAAGAGAGAUCGGCAAAAGACAGCACCAAAAAAAGGCAGGAAAUCAACAUGACAAAAUCUAAACCCAUAUCUCUGACAACCGUGAAAUGACGUUUGAGAAAGGCUGGACUGAAGGGUUGUGUAUCUGCAAAAAAACACUACUUCAUCCACAGAACAAGAAAAAGAGACAUGAGUGGGCAAAAGCUCACAAAAAUUGGACUUAUGAUGACUAGAAACAAGUUUGAACUGUUUGUUUCAAAACGCAGAGUCUAUGUCCACAGACAAACUGGUGAACGUCUCAAAGCACCAUGUGUUACACCCACAAUUCAGCAUGGAGGUGGUAGUUCCAUGGUAUGGGGAUGUUUUGCAAGUGAUGGAGUAGGAGAUUUGUUUGAAGUAAAGGGUAUCAUGAAGAAGGAACAGUACCAUUCCAUCCUCCAGCACCAUGCUGUUCCAUCUGGACUCAGACUCAUAAGUUUGUUUUGCAGCAAGACAAUGACCCUAAGCACUCUGCCAAGCUCUGUCAUGUCUGCUCCAUAGAGCAGACAUGUGACAGACGGUUUUUGCAGGUUUACUCAUGUUUAAUAAAGUAAACUAUGUUAUUUUAUGUUGUGGUGUUACCUUCAGACAGAGUUUGCAGUUCAAAGUCUUGUUGGGGUCCACAUGGAUCAGGGAUUGACCAUGGGAUUCUUCUGUGUUACUGAUAAAUCCAUAACCAGGAAGUAUUUCUCAUCUACACGAACUGAUACACAGUCAGGAGUUUGCAUACAGUGUUUUAUUUUGAAAUUUACAGGAUGACAUGCAUGUUUUUUGUGCUUGACAUCCCGUCUAGAACGAUUUUCUCUAUGUAAAUUGACGCGUGUUGGAAGCGUAGAGCAAAAAAUUAGGCUUGGCACGAAUCUUUAGCAGAGCCGCACUUGAACGCCUACGAUACGGAGCUGCGACAUAGUUGAUAUGCGACCUGUGUGCAAUUAGAACGGAAACCUAUUUGCUGCGUGAUACGCGAUGCUGACGGAACGCACUCACACGGAUCCUGUAUGUUUUAGCCUUGACAGACAUUGACAAAGGGCAGUGAUCACUAGAAACAUUUAACAAUAAAUAAGGUGUCAAUGUCAAAAUACUUCAUUAGUCAUCAUAUUCAGACGGCGAUGUUUGUAGGAAAACUACUUAUUCUGACAGUCAAAUUCAGUCCCCCUGUAUUUCUGUGUCUGGCUUUUGAAACAUAAACUUGGCGUUAUGUUAGCUCCAUUUCCAAUUCCUAAAAAAAAGUAGUGGCAUACACUUAUCAUUUCAACUAUUUAUCCGAGAGCUGCCCCUGGUUCUGCUCUAUACCUAUCUAUAAAUCUAUCAAUAAAUUAAUCAUAGCCAAACAGCCAAUCAUAUACAGUAGCUACCAGUCAGAACUUUCAGGGUGAACUAAUGUUAUGACAUCCCUUGACUGGAAUCAGGGGAUAACACCAAAACACAUAAAACAAGUCAAAAGCAUAGGCUUAUGGAAAAUGGAGAGCCUUGCCAACAGAGGCAGCUUAGCACCUUAUCUGUUAAAACACUGGUUACAUGUGGUUACUCUGCUUCUGAAGACUUAAAUCCAAUGUGCACCACUACCACAUUAUUUCCUCUAGUUUUCUCUCCUUUGCUAAAUGAGAUCCAUCAUAAGUAUGUUGAUUAUGACAGGGACAGAGUGCAGGGGAGUGAAUAUGACAGAGAAACCGAAAAGGACAUAGAGAGAGGGAAAGGGAGUUAGAGAAUCAGAGGAACCAUUUACUCUAUAGGUUUUAGGGGAGAUUUAUUUCUGCCAGAGCUUAUUACAGACAAACAGCAGAUGAACAAAGCACUGGUUAGAGUGGGCUGAAAUAAAGCCUUACAUUAUUCAUAGUAUUUCUUCCUGCUUAACACUCCCGUCCUCUUUUCCUGAUUUUUCUUUUUCCCUCUCUUUCCCUAAGGCAUUUAUCAUCUCUUCACCUCUACUCUGUUUCUGCCCCUUGUUUUUUUCCAGUUAUCUUUCUGUAUCUUCAUUGUCCCUGAUAGAAGGCAUCUUUAAGUCUCUGCAACCUUUUAAGGUCACACAAACACGCACACCCCUAUCCCUUAGGAUACUUAGUAUGCUGCCAUGAUACAGAUGCCCCACAGCCAACCAAGGUACAACCCAAACAUGUGAGGCUUUCCAUUAACUUGAUAAUUUAAUAUCUUCUUAAUAGAAACAUCACCUUCAUGCCCUGAGGAAAUCAUGUCCUAACUCAACCCUCACCUUUAAAGUAAGACUUUUUUUUUUUAAACAGCCUUUUUUUCUCACAGCGUCCUCAGGCUUUGUGUUUCUGUGGGGAAAAUGGAGCGGUAGGAAAUAAUUAAAAACAUGCAUCAUACACACAACCUAAGUCCCAACUGACUCCAGGCUCUGCCUGCUCUGACUCUGACUGCAGUGUAUGCAGUGACAGGGUACAUUUUGUGGCUGCUGACAGUGAUAGCGUCAAGGGUAGAUGAAGUCAUCGCUGGUCAUCAGGAUAGGAGGGCAUGUGCACCCGAGGGUGGCAUUGCUUAAGAUGGUUUUUCGAAAGCAAAAGAAAUGUCUUCCUCAUUGGCCAGCCAUUUAAAAAUGUAUAAAGCACACUGUGACUGCUGUGAUGGAGUGAUGAUUUCUAUGAUCUGUUUGUGGAUGGAUGGAUGGAUGGAUUGGGAGCCGUCUUUAAACUAUUUUCAUCCAUUACAUCAUGCCAUUGAAAAGGCCAAAACUUUAAGUUGCAGCUGCUUUUAUGCUGAGCGUGUUUUUCAGACAAAAACUGAACGUGUAAAAAAAAAAAAAAGUGUCAUUCAAAAGUCUUCCUGCACAUCCAAUAGACAUGUAACAAUUAGUGUUCAUUUGAAGUCUUAUUUUUUGGUUAUCUGACAAAGGGAGGACUAAAAUUUUAUCUCCCCAUAGCUUUUUCAGUUUUUUACUAUUUCUGACAAUCUGAUAAUAACAAAUUUCCAAAUGAUCAGCACUAAAGAAAAGACACAAACAAAAAAUAUCUUGUAUGUUUUGGUUUUGUUUGCCAGCAUAAAGAUGAGUGUGAGAGAUUAAUAAAGUGAUUACGCCGAUGGAAACCUGCUGACUGCUGGGCCUGUAGUCUUAUGAGCUGGAUCAGCACUGAAUAUACAAGGUAGAUGACAGAAUCGACUUUCCACUUUGGCCAAAGUUAGUGAGAUUUUUGAGUGGUAACAGUGUCAUGAUUAUAAAGAACGCAUUCAAAUGUUUCAAAAUAAUAAAGGUGUGAGUCAGUUUCUUUGAUAAUGAUUGAAACCCCUCUAUAAUCACCUCAUGAUCUUGGCUAACGAUCUUUUUCUUCUUUGGCUGAAUCCCUCACGUCUCGUCAACCUGCCUUUCCAAAUGAAAGAUAAUAAAAUGGUAUAUUCCUGUGCAGAUUACACCCUUCCUGUCCAUUCAGCUGCUCUGCUGUUGAUCCAUGCUGGCAUUUCUCUGCAGGCGUUCAUAGGGCCAGCUGUCGCUGACAAAGUAGGACCCUUCAGCUACAAUAUCCAGAGGAGACAAGAGACCAAAAAAAGGUUUGUUUGCAGUCUUCUCUCUCUCUCCAAGGCGUUUGCUUUGUAUGCCCCCAUUCAAGGUCACUGGCUGUUUGCAUUCUGAAGUUCUGUUGUGUUCUCAAGUCAGAACAUAUUAUUCACAUUAUGGGUGUGACAGACAGUGAUGUUGGCAACCCAUGAAAAUAGCUGGAAUCCCAGAACUCCUGGGUACAGGUGAUUUUUAUUAUAGUUUUCUUUUCUUUUAUUUUCAGAUAAAUAAAAUAAAACAUUGGCUGUAAACUAACCCGCCAGCAACUUCUUCUAUUUGUGGCAUCCUUACCUCCUUAAGAGUGUUGCUUUUUUUUUUUUUCCUGACACGGAUGAUGACGUACACAAGACAAUAAAAGACUUUAUUUUUAGCAGCUUCUGUUCAGUGGAGCCUCUAACUAUCGUUAACUUGUUUAAUGAAUUUAAUAUCUUUCAAGUGAUAGCUGUGGUGGUUAACUGUAUGAGGCCAAAAGUUCAUCACUUCUCCUUCAUCAACGGUAUCUCUGGAUCAGCUGCUGGGACUGACUAAUCUGUUUUGGCACAACAAGGCUAAUUAGCUCACUCCCAAAGAGCAAACCAGCUCAUUUUCUACUCUGGGCAGACUAUUUCAGUGAUGAAAGUAUUGCUUUGAAGGGGCAAGUCUGACCACUGUACUUUGUCAUGUCAGACAGAAGGGGAAUUUCAGUACUGUUCCACUCAUGUGUUAUUAAGGAUCUUAAAUGGUAAAGCUUUAGCACUUGCUCAAUAUGUUUACUAUCAGAUUUUAUGGUUUUAGAUGUGAACAGAAGUACUUAUCAAUCUUAACCUAACCUUGACCACGCCCAGCAGAGAAACACCAAACACAAUCAAGAUCAGGAAACAGAGCCAGAGAUUCCCAAAGGGCCAACCCCUCUUGGUUAUGAUAAACAGGCACAGAGGGGAUGACUCAUUCAUAAGAUGGACUGGAUAUUACUUUGCUCAUUCAGAAUUAGCCCAGUCUUUCACACAGACCUGGGUAAGCAGUCUCAUAUCCACCCUGCCCAUGCAUUUUCCUCUAGUGAGUAAAAAGGCUGCAGCUGGAGGGGGACUUAAAAGAAGGCCAGCAGGUGCCCUGAACAGGGUUGCCAACUCCCUGAAAAAAUAAUAAGGGGCACCUCACUGGCAGAGCCAGCCAACCUGAUUGCCUUCACCCUUCCUGGCUUGGGGAAUUUUUAAACCCUUUUUUUUUGUGUGUGAGUCGAUUUCUCCACCAUUCAGAGUGGGAUGGUGAAGACAAAACAUAUCAAAUGACUUUUUGUUAUAUGAACACAGGGAAAAGAAAUAAUUAUUUAGCAUUUUAUUUUUUGUGCAUACCAAGAUAAACAGAAUAAAAACAAAAGCGUUCCUAAACAGAAACCUGUCCUGUUUAAAUUCAUUGAAUAAAAAUAAAUCUUUACCAGAACUCUGUCUGGCUUAAACUAAACUAUUUGUGUGUGCUGUCGGCACACACAAAUAGAUUUACCAUAAUAGAUUUACCAUAUUUUUUUUACAUAAAUCGCCCUGUUGUUCAUUAAAUCCAUUGACAUUAUACAGGUUAUUUUUGAUUGUCAUGAUAAGGGACAAAGUGCGUCCCUUUUCAGGUCAAUACGGGACGUGUACUUUUGUUUCUAAAUGCGGGACCAUUCUGUUUUUCAAGGGGCGGUUGGAAACCCUAGCCCUGGAUAACGCUUAGGAGGGGGCAGCUGUGGCUCAGGGGUUGGGGGCUGGGUGUUAAAGUACCUGUAGUUGGAGUUCGGAUAGAAGGCCUCAAAAGCUGAUGAUGGAUGGACUCCAAAUGGUGUUUAAAAGUAACUGUACCCUUAGACAGGGUUAGGCCCAAACGUGUCAGUCUCUACUCCUUAGAGUUCACUAAGUUCAUUAACACGACUUUAACCCAAAAGUGUACAGAGGCGAACAAAGUAAAACUCUUGUGAACUUCCUCUCAGUUCACUGGUAUGAAUCAUCAUUGUGCUAUAUAAGAUAAUGAUUCAGAGAAACAAAACACACAUCUUUUUGUGAAUUUAUCACAGAUUUUGCCUUUGAGCUAAACGCAGGCAGAGCAGAUAAGAGGACCUCCUCAUGUGAGAUGGUCUGCCAGGGGGAGGAAACACAACUCUUCCAUUAAGGAGGAAAUUCAGCUGAAGAAGAAACGCUUCAUUGAGUUCUCAAGAAAAGCAGAUGAAUACAGAAGGAUAAUAAGGGCGAAUGUCUGCCGAAUAUUCCAGUGUUUUAACAAAGACUUACUCUGUGGGUUUCCAUGAUGAGGACAAUAAAAGGAGAAACAUUCACAUCAUGAACCGGGGCCCUAAUGUUACUAUAGGCAGUUAUAGGCUGUGGGGUGGGGUCUGGGGGCAUUGUUCAAAAUGCGAUAGGUAGCUUUUAAUUGUAAUAGGUAGGUGAGGUCUUUUUAAGUAAUGUUUGACAUUUUGGUAAAUUUUUCUUUGGUUUCCUUUUGGUUGCUUCUUGCUGUCUGAAGACAGCAACAUGCCACCAAUAAAUCUAAUCACACCAUUUUCAGACCACCAUGCAAAGCCUAUGGAAGCACAAAUUUGCUCACAUUGUGGAUGAUGGGCAUUUGUCUUUAUAAUUCUAAAAGUUGAUGCCUGUGUGUUCUUUGAAAGAUCCUAAAGGUCUAAUUCUCUCUUCUCUUGCUCAUCCUUAGCUUCUUCAUAAAUCCCCCUUGACUCUCAGUCCUCAUACUGUAAAAUCCCUCUCAUUUUAAAUGACAAUAGGCAUCAAGCAGAAACGUCACACUGUUCACUUGCCUUAAAACCCUCGUUUGAGACAGAUAUGUAGAGUGCUGAGCCAUGACCUAAAUGAAUACAAAGAGAAUAGUGGGUUGGAGCAGAGAGAAAAGAGGAGUGAAGAACCAUGGCUACCAUUUUCAUUCGUCCUACCACGACUAAACCAUUGUCCUGUUAGUCGCAGUCAUUUUGUUCGCAGCCAAACAUAAUAGGUGGUUAUACAAACUAGAAUGCAGACAGGGUGAGCGGAGCCCUGAUGCAGGCAGAGGGGCCUUGUUUCAUUAUACAUUAUCCUGGUUAUUAUACUGAUUAUACCGAUAAACAGGUUGAAACAAAAUAUUGAUUUAAAGAAGGUUUUAUUUAUUUGAAAUUUAUUUGUUUAGACAGCUAAAAUACAUUGUCCCUUAGGCUCACCAGCUGGUAACAUUAGAGAGGAUAAAUGGGAAGUCUGUAGGAAUAGCCUAUUCAUGGUUAUAUUUCUGUUCCCAUUCAGCUGUCCUUCUUCUUGAAGCUUUGCAGUUGACACGCCUUUCUGAAUAGCCCUGCUUUAUGACAAAAAUAAACACGUUAAAAGCUUAGUUCAAAAAAUGGAUUUCGUCAGAAUAAGUUUUUUUCUGUUUUUUUUUUUUUCAUGAGGCUGAAUGUUUUGAAAGUAUUAAGAUUACAAAUUUUGUACUAAAGAAGCACAGCUAAUUUGGCAGGGACUCCAAAGUUGUUUAAAAGGAGGCUGAAGGCCAACCUCAAAUCUGCCUUUUUAUCUCAAGUAAAGGCUGACUGAAGGUUAAGUCAAAUCAGCAUGACACCAUCCAAUUGGCUUCAAAAUUCCUGUAGUUGAUGUCACUAAGACUACGUCUAUGUUUUGUACAGCUCGUGACCACAACUCCUGAGCUCCUGAGAUGAGUUUUUAGCUGGUGAUUAAACAGACUGAAAUGACUCUAAUAUCGCUCCAUGGGCUGCAAAAAGCAAAACAGAACAUCAUCAUGAAGACUGAAUAAUAGUCAUUUUUAAUUUCAGCAAUCACUGGUGGGGUAGAUGUCAGUCCAAGGGCCUGAUCUUCUAAAAUCCCAAAUAAGGGGUUCUAAAUUGUGGUGCAGACCAAAAAUGUGCAUGUGCUAUUGGUGGGCAUGUUGCGGGUAAUCUACUAUCAUUGUGUGCGCAAUUGAUAACAGGUGCAAAAGGGGUGCAGAAAACCCUCUUUUAACAAGGUUUUUGUGUGCACUGUCAGCUGUCGCCAUGGAAAGUUUGCAGAGUGAUGGUAGGUGAAAAAUGAAGUUUGAGUUGCACCUAGAUGCAAGAAACCUGGAAAUACAUGCCCAUCCUGCGUGACACAGCAUUUAACACUUGGGACAGCACACUUGAAAAACUACUCUGGGAGACGCUCUAACUGGGAUGGUGCGCUGGAAUGAUCCAGACGCAGGAAAAUGCAGUGUUGCAAGGAGUUUUUCAACAGGAGAUAUGGCAUGGAUCAUUUUUGUGACUGGCUCCAAAUCAGCCCUUAGGUCACCCAGCAGCACAAAAAUGGCCUUACUAUUACUCUACUAUUUUUAUCACUGACUGUCCAAAUAUGUUGACACACGUACCGAAGACUCUCUCUCUGUCAUCUAUCAUUGCACUUUUGCCUCCCUUUCAACACAAUGACUGCAGCCAUUUGUGCGUUACACUGCCAGUUUGCAUGUGGCUUUCAAACAUGCGAAAUAUAGAUGCAAAAACAGCGAUCACAAUCGCAUUGUGGGUGCUAAAUGAUUCUAUCUGCAUCUGCUCCUAGAGUAUUUUACACGUCCUGAUGAUCUACAUACAGUCUGCAUAUUCAUGAAGGCAAACACACUAAAUCGAUUGCGCAUGCUGUUUUGCUCAUUUGACAGACACAAUCCUCGGUGCACCCAGUUAGUAGAUCAGCUUUGCGUGCGCUAUCAAGUUUGUAUGCGCAAACCUUGAGCAAAUCAGGCCCUAAGUGAUUUAUGGCUUUGUACUUUUCAUUGGGGAGUUUAUGAUGAUGUAUACCUUUGACAAAUAAAGUAAAGAAUGACAGGAUGUAUCAAUAAGGAAAAAGCGUACACAUGUACACAACAAAAUCAUUAAAUACUAAGACAUUACAUUUUGUCCUCAGGGGUGCCAGAAUAGACCAAACUUAAAGUUCCUUCGAAGAGCUUUGAGUUACUUGACAACUAUUCAAAACUUGGAGAUGUGUACUCAUCAGCUCUGCUGCCAUAUCCUGGAUUGCAGGACAAAAUCUUGCUCCACUUCUCCCCAACAGAAAUGGUUGACUUCAUAUGACGUGUGUGAUUCCUGGCAUUCAUUUUGCCAUUGAGAAGGUUGAUUACUAUAUAUUAUUAGCAGGCUUUGAUUAAUCAGUAUCAGGUAUAUAACACAGCCUGAUAAUGUGGAGGUAAUUGUAUUUUUCCUUGGCUUUUCAUGGCUUCUACAAAUAGCUCAACAGUGUCACAGUGUUCCCUGUGGUUUCACAGCUCUUUAACCCAGCAUGCACCUGCUCGGUGUGGAAUUAUGUACAUAGUAGUGGGUGAGUUAUAUUCAGGUCCUUCUGCUAACUUACUUAUAGGGGAGUGAUAAAUAAAUAUUAAAUGUGCUCCUCUAACUGAUUACAGCUGAUAACCAGUUUAUUUUAAGACUCAUGACAACUGUGUAUAAGCAAGUUAUUUCUAAGUUUGUAUCAUAGACUGUAUAUAUUAUGGACAACUUGGCUACGCCUUCUGUCAGUAUAUGAAUUUAAAGCUGAAUUGCUCUCGGUAUUUCUGGGAUUUUCUCCACUUCCUAGAACCACCACUUGUGUAGCAGCAUUGUAUGCAUUUAGCAGGAGAGUUGCUGUGAUGACGCUUGGCUCAAACAGGGCAUCCCCUGGGUGAGAUAGGAAAUCUUCAUACACCCAUAGGCUGUAUCAAGUGUCAAUCAUAGAAAACAAGAACCCCCUAAUAACUUUUGAAAAUGAAGCUGCACAGAAAAAAGAGGACUUGAGCACAACCAGCCCUACAGUAAUUACAUGUCAACAUCGUAACUAGGGUAGAGUAAAAUGUAUAUUCUGUGUAAUUAAUUUCUAAAGUUUGUCAACGGCUCCGUAGGAAUUGCUGGAGGAGGCGAGAUUUAUGACCUGUACUGCAGCCAACUACCAGAGGGUGCUGUUCUUGCAGAGGCCGUACCUAGCGAGGGGGCAGACAGCAUCCAUUCUAUAUACAGUCCAUGGUUGGUAUGCAUUAUUCUUUCCCUCUUCCCUUCACAUCUUUAAUUUGAUUUUAAGCCUUCAUUCCACUAAAAGGAGUGGGGUUUUUUUGGAAAAGGAAGCAAGUUCUUUUGUUUCAUUUAAGCCAGUCAAUUGAGAAACACAGGGUGUUGAAUAUCACAGGCUGACACAAAUCUAAAACACAAUCCACAGCUGUUAUAUCUGAUGUAUUAUAGGCUGCAUGCCAUAUUGAUGAACAGUAAACAUGAGCAAAUUAUUGCAUCAAGUAUUCCCUUUGAUGCUUUGUUGUACUAUUCAGUUGUUAUGUGUGAUCUCAUUUAAGCCUGUGUACAUUGAGUACUGGAGGCGGUUCAGCAGUGAUGCAAUCAAACAGUGAAAUGGUUAUUUUGUUUUGAUGCAAACAAGCAUGCCAGUAAAUUACAUGCACUGAUUUGGAGCCUCAUUAAAAUAUGUGUAUGUCGUUACAGCUAUUUGUCCCCACAUGCAAAUACACAUCAUCAUGCUGCACACACAUAAAUAUUUAUUUCAUUAAAUGAUGAGUUUUCUUCUGACACAAACAUGUUGGUGUUGUUGAAACUCUGUUUUAGUGUCAUGGCCACACGCCUACACACACUUGUAUACAUACUCAACAUACAAGAUUCUAUGUACAAUAUGUUACAAUGUAGUAUAACAAACAAGCACUCAUUGAGUCAUUUGUUGAAAACAGUUUCAGAGCAGUUUGUGAUCCCGCUGUUGGUGAUUAUGCUCAAAAAUGCUGGAUGGUGUGAUACAGUAAUGAAUACACAGCACUUUACUACAAGAAAAAAAGGCCCCUGAUGAGAUAAAACGAUUUUGGCACUGUGUGGCUCAGAGUCACCUUCAGAUUCUAGCUCGCAAAUGAUUGUCUCCUUUUCCAAGUUAAUUAACUUACAAUUUUAAGAGCUGACGUUCCUGCAUAGUGCAAACCAGGAGGUAUUAGUUGUGAUGCAUGAUUGUUGGAAACAAAAACCUGAUAUCAGUGAGGCACUCUAUGAGGGGCUAUUAUGCUUCCAUUAUAUGUACUUCAACUUACAUCAUCAAGAUAUAGGGCUCUAUUUUCGUGUACGCCGAUGAGGCGGUGGAGGGUGGCGGACCCCGCGCAGUUGUAUUUUCGUCUGGCGGAGCCCGGCGUACAGCCAGUUUGGUAUUUUCGUGGACUGAGGCGCACGGAGGCGAACCGAGAUCCGGCAAGCUGGGCGUGGUGGUGUGGCAGGGGGAGGUGUUGACAGAAUCAGCGGGUGCAGUGACAUUUUCAUGCUCGCCACCGGCGUGUAAAGUGCGCUGAAAGCUCGCCGAUUCAAACCUGGUCAGCUUUCAGCGCAGGCGAAGCGCAGCUGGUCUAGUGGUAUUUUGGUAGACCGGCGGCGUAUCGACAUAUGUCACUGAUGCCUCACAGGCAGGUUUCCACAGUGUCAGGCAGAUUUCAGUGCAAUAAAUAAUCAUCAACAACUAAUAAUCUGAGUCAGCACAUACAUUUAGAUCUAUAUCGAUAUAUUCUGAUCUAUAUCUGAUCUGAUGAGCAUGUUUGGCACGCGUUUGGACACAACCUGACCGAAUCAACACAGCUGAAACCGCGUUAAAUUAAAUUAAAUUAAAUAUCUAGUAAAUAAACACACAUGAUGAAGUUAACAAGAUAUUUAAUUUGUCUCCCUCCUUUUCUUUCUUCCUCUUCCUCUUAUUUCUCACGCAGCUUGACCUGGACACGUCUCCGUGUCCUCUGUCCGUCCUACUGCAGCUGCUGCUGCAGCGGCUGAACAGAUGAUUUGUUUCAGUGAUCAGAUGAGUUAUUUACUUGUAGCCUACAUACGAAUAUUAUAAUAUUCAGUUUUGUGGGCCAAAUUUAUUUUAUAUGCCAACAUCUAUGAAAGAAAGAGCCAGUCCACGGAGCGCGAUGCGUCAUUUACGCACAGAUGGUUCCAAUUUUAAUGCCAUUUUUGGAGUUUAUGUUGUGAUCUGUGCGCUCAACCCACCUUUGUCACGUGAGGUUUGAAUAUAUGCAACUUUGUGUGAGUGUCUUUAUUAGUGGAAAAGGGUGUUUUUACCAGUGGGUCCAACAUUACACACACCAAAUACAUCUGUGCUCAUAUGAGAGUGUGGAGGACGCCCUCUGCAGCGCUUACAGUGAAACUUGUUGAGGAGCUGCCUUCUGUUGCCAUCAUGUGGCAUUACUGUCUUCAGACAUCUCUUGAUCUCUUUGACUACUUCACAAAAAUAGUAAUAAGCCUCGCCGGUGGCGGAUUUAAAGGCAAGGAGAGGAGCUGAUGUUAUUGGUAAAAACAGGUCUUGGCUGUGUUAAACCCACUCCACAUCCUCUCUCCUCCUUCCCUACAACUAACGCCGCUGGGAGGAGCUGAGUUAGGAAGGGGGGAUACUUAUGCCAGGAUGCGCCGCUCACCAAAAUACCAAAUUGUGCUUGGGAACGCCUUGUCGGCGCGGUAGACCUGACUUAUGCUGCGCCUGCGGCACGUCUCCGGCGAGGCAUGAAAAUAGAGCCCAUAGUGUCAGUGUUUGUCUCUGUGUGUAGAGUGCAAACUUUUCUCAAGGAGAGUUCUUGAGUGGUACACCAAAGAACUCAAAGGCUUCCUUUCUUAACUUCAUUUGAUGAUAAAUGACUUUAAGGUAAGUAAAGGUAUGACUUAAAACAAACCCCCCUCAAAAUGAGAAAAUUCUACCCUCUCCUUCUCUUGCUUGUUACACCUUUAAGAAAAUGUCUGCUCAAACGGGUGGAUUGAAAUUAUCUGCUUCCAUGAUGUCAUUGACGGCAAUAACUCCUCCCCUCCAGGUUGUUGACCCUGCCCAAGAUGUCCCCUACCCACACACCCCCAAAAAUUUCCACUCAGACACUAUUUUUCUCCCUCGCAAAAGCUGGUUCAAAAUGGUGAAGAUACAAGCAAGGCACAGCAGUUGCUCUGAUGUUGGCUGCACGAAGCAGCACAGAAGUCUGUGUCCAUAGGAUGCAAGAACAUAGUCAUGAGAGAGAACUAUACUUACAAUAUUGCGCAUUCACCAAAAGAGCUCCAAGUAACAAGAAGAUAGCAGUGUUGUAACUGUUGGCAGGAGCUAAUGUUUCCUAGCUACAAGUAAGUCAAUGUGUACCAACACACAAAGUAAAUAGAAAAAUAUGGAGACACAUAAUAUUUGUAACUAACCAUUCAGAAACGUCCUGCUGCAGCCACAGAGUUGGAAUUUCGUCAGGAGUCCUCUGGGUUGGAUCAAACUGGUACAGCUGGACCACAACUCUUCUAUGAGCCAUACUGAGCUCUCUGUGUUAACAUUAGCGCAUGGUACCGUAGAGCAAGCCACGCCCCCCUCUUCCAGAGAGACAUGGUGGGGCGUGACUUGCGCUUAAGGAGGCGUGGACAGGCGCAGCACGGAAACUGUGUGUUCUCGGUUGAACUCACUAGAGAGAGUUUUCAGGCUGGCUGAGGUGUCCAGGAAAAAACUGGGUUUUUAGACAACAAACUUCAAAUUAAUUGUUCUAGGACCUCUGAGACCUAUGUGAACCUGCUGAAAAAGAGUGUAAUACAGGACCUUUAAAGGUUGUAGCAGCUUGUUAAAAGCUAUAAAACAAUAAUUAUUAAAGCGCUCCUCAGAAGCAUUUGUAUGUUAAGCGAGGUGUUUUCCAGAUCAGCAAAUGCCAGCACACUGAUCCUGAUAUCCAGAAAAAAUAAAUGCUACACUGUAUAUCACAGAUCAAAAAUUCUGUUCAUGUCUGCAAAAGUUUCUACAGAUGCUUUUUGCCUAAUGUGUAUAUUUUGCAUUUCUGUAAGAAAAGGGUGUAAAUCUGUAUAGGGACCCAGAGAGCCCAUCAUACUACCUGACCAUAGAGGGAAUAGGAUGGCUUAUUGUAGUGGUGAAGGGUGAGUAAAUAGCUUUAGGACUAUAAAUACUAAAGAAAAGCCAACACAGGAGUUCAACUUCACAAAUAUGUAUUCAGCUGCACUUUUCCUCAAAACCAUCCAUCUGCAAUGACAUAGAAACAGCACAAAUUCACUACUACUAUAAUAAGCUAAAUAGGAUGAAUCCAUUCAAAACAUUUCUAGCCGUGAAAUUUCUAUAGUGUGUUUGUGUCUUUUCCAGGCAGAGGAAUAAAAACCCAUCUUAGUCUGUCCGCCGGAAAGAUUACUACUGAAAAGCCUGCAGUCUGAGGAAGUGAGCGAUUUUAAAUGUAAGCCACUGCUCACACCAGUCUAUUUUUAACCUUGAUAUAUAACCACAGUAUUUUAAAAUCAUUAACAACAGCAACAUUUGUUGUCAGCAUAUGCAAGAAUAAAAACCUUUUCCACUAACAAGAAAAGUUAAGUAUUUGUGUUGUGUCUCUCAGAUGGCCUUGCAUGGAUGCAGUGUUUGCUUUAUCCCACGAAACAUGUUUUGCCUCCUUUCACGACUGCCGUGACAACCAGAGCAUGAGAAAGAGAGAGAGGGGACUUUUCUGGUGUUUAAAUCCUCCCAAAUUAAUUCAAAACCAAAAUGAAACCUCCUGUACUCGCCCCCUCCCUCUGUGUGUAAAUCUGAUGAGAGUAAAGACCUUGAGUUCCACUUGAUUCUCCUCACUAAUCUUCUGUCGUCACCUUUUGUUGCCUCUGAGCAUCCCACUGUGAAAUCCAAGGGUGUUUCUGUGUGCCUUGUUGGUGCGUCUUCAGGAUUGAUAGAACUACAUUGUUUGUGUGCGUGUUUAAUUUAAUGACAUUUAGAAGAAAACAGAGUAGGGAUAACACAUGCAGAAAAAUAAGAGAACAAGAGGUGAUAAGGUGAUCCGGCCGCCAUGGUAACAGUUUCCAUGACAGCAGGAGGGAUAGAAACUAAAGCUGGAAGCUUGGAGAUCCCUGUUGGGAUUGGAGAAACCCUCCCUGAGGUUAUCUGUCUUUGCCUCCCUGUCGGUCCCGCCAGGGGACUGAACCUUAUCCAACCCCUUCCCCUCCCCCGGGUGCUCCAGAUAAUGAGUAGUUGUCAAGGUCACCAAUCCUCCUGACCAAUCAGGUUACUUCUGUGUAGCUUCUUCUACUGGGCUCUUUGCAAUUUGACCUCCAUAUUGCUUAGGGCAGCCAGCUUGCUGCUGCUGCUGUUGCUGUGAUCUCCCCCGGUGACAUAAAAAGUCAGGUCCUGAAUUGAAACCUGCUGUCAGUGUAACUUGAGGUGAUCAGAUGUUAAAAAAACUUAACAGACCUUAACAUACAAUCAAUCAAACCAAUCAACUACAUGUUUGAAAACAAAAUCAGAAAUCCACCGAUGAAAUCAUCCUUUUAAAACUCACAUUUAAUGUGAUGAUAUGUUAUCGAUACUUAACACCCUUGUUAGACCUAUGGGUAUCUUCUCUGAAAUGUAGAGUGUAUUGACAUCAACACAUCAAAUAAGCAAAGCGCAAUCAAUUAUCAAAGGUCAAUGCUGUAUCUUGUGGACACAGAACUAUACUGAUGUGAAUAAAUAUCACAGCGUCAUUUAAAGGACUGAGGACAAAACCUCGAAAAAUGAGGUUAUUCUGAGAAAACUGAACAAAUAUUUCAAAUUAUGAUCAAAGUUUCACAGAACUUAAGUUUUUCAUUCUCCUCAGUUUACAAAUAAUGUACAAGCACUGUCCUCUAUAGGUGGAACAAUACUUUCUUCACUUGCCACACUCUAAUUAGCCAUAGGUAAUACUUUGACUCCAUUUUAACUCUGCUUUGCAUAUCAGUUCAUGCAAAUGGGAAGAUUAUCUAGACUUAAUGUUCGAAGGAGCACAGCAUUGUGUUAAAAGCCAUAAUCUUUAUUUGAGUUUAAAUUAAAUUUUCACAGUUUUACUGCACAUGGAUACUGAGUCUCCACCUCCUCCUGUUGUGCUAAAUUGAAGCCAAAUACCCUACUGAUAUAAUGUGCAAGCAAGGUUUUUAUUGCCCUGGACUGUGCAGUAGAAUUUGUAAAUUUAAUAAACUAGUAUAAUGACAAAGAUCCUUCAAGUUGGUUCAGUCUACAGCAGAAAAGAUACUUUUGGCAGUUUUAAGAUGAGAUUUGUAGCCCUCAAAAGUCCAGUGUCUCUUGGUGUCAUGUGCAUUGCAUUUUCCCUUUGCCAUCUCCUAAACUCUGCUUAUACAGCACCCAUAGUGCCAAAAGGAGCCUGACUAUUUAUCAAGAGAGCUGUUAGUCAUGGUAUUAUAUCCAUCUUUGCAUCUAACAGGUAUUUAAAACUAAAUUCCUUAAAAAAGUUAACAACUGGACAUAAAUCACUAUCAUGAACAUAAAAGUAGGCUCUACAACCUAUGCUGUAGAAAGCCAGUAUGAGGAACUCCUUUUGGCAUCAGUUUUGGGGAGUCGUCAUUUCAUCAAUACAAUUUAUGAAUCUCACUCAAGGUAAAGUCUUUCUCCUCUUUUUUUAUACUAUUCCUCUAUUUUAUACCAUAUAACAUUUUGCAAGUCUUCAAAAACAGUAUAUCAAGACACAAGGACAAAAAAAACUUGUUGCGAUGCUGAGCCCAGUAAUUACUCAACUAAACCUUUCUGAGUUGCAUUUUGGACACAAAUGUGAUUCCACUGAAAUGUCACUGCAGUUCAGAGGUCUGACCACAAUAAUCAUACCUCUGAGCAAUCAAGGAGCCAUGUUUUCAGACAGACAAAUCAACCUUGAUGAUUGUUUCUUGGUUGAUUAAGCACAUCAAAUCAUUCUUAAAUGUAUUACAUGGCUUAAUGUGCUUUUAUUAGACAGCUGGCUGCAGAAGGAUGACAGAUCUUGAGUAAAACCCUGGGGUAAUUGCUUCUGGCAUCUGAUGUCAUAUAAAUUGGGCUGUCUUUAACACCUCCAGAUUAUUUUUUACCUCAUUAUUAUUGUAAGAAGCCUCUUCAGCUCUGGUUAUUUCUACAAAUGAAUCCUGCAUCCCUCCACUGGGACAUGGAGGUUUAGGCUUGUGAUCCUCAUCUAUGUGCUGGAUUAGUCCAGGUAUUAUAUUCGCUCCUUCCAAUGGAUUCCUUAGGGCCAAAGGCUAUCCUAAUGAUCUGUUCUAUUCAAUGUAGGUGGUCAAUAACAGACAAGUCUUAAGACUUUAUGUCCAACAUCAUCUGAAGGUGAACUUGAGGUGAGUAUCAAAGGGAUAUUUCAGCAUAAAUUUAAGUUAUGAUCAAACACAUCAUAUCAAACACAUCAGGUAGACCCCCCCCCCCCCGAUGAGUCCAUCGAGUGCAGCGGAUCAUUUCCUUGAAGUAAUAAUCAUCAUAAUAAUCAUUUUGCACUGUAGACACAGUAGUAGUUCUUCUGCGUCUUCCGUGGCGUCUCAGUCUGAUCGCAUUUCCAUGAAGUAAUGAUCAUAAAUGUUCUUCUAAGCUGCGAAACUCCGCUGCACUCAGUGAUUGACUCGUCAGGGCUCCCCCACAAACAAGCGGCUGCUGGAGGACAGUGGGUGCUAAAGAAACCAGACAAAGCUAAAAAGAUGUUUGAUGGCUAGUACUAUGGCUGGGACCCUAUAUGUACUGUUGAUGAAGUUGGGUGCUGUUCUGAGCAUUAUUUGUGGAGGCAUAGACCUCUGUGUAUUGCUAUUGUGUGGUCGUUACUAAAGUUGGUAUAACUAGAGAAUCAAGCAGUUGGCAACAUUCAUCUCUCGAAGGGGUGUCUAACUUGGAGUUACAGUGUGUUUGACCAAAACUUAUAUUUACACUAGAACAUUCCUUUAAGAAAGUUUUGAACAUAUGUAUGUAUUAUACACCAAAAGUGGAACUGCCAUCAACACUCCUUGUGUAUGGCGAUUACAACUUGAGAUACCUGUGACAAUGUUGUGAAUGGCCUUGUGCAGGACCAAAGAAGCUUUUUAUGGUAGAAGGUAACUGUAACUGUAAAAAAAAAUAGCCCCUCUAAAUAACUGAACCUUUCAAGGCACAAACCAUACCUCUGCAGUGCACCAGGUUAAAUCCAGCUUUAUAUAAUCCCUUUGAUUCUCAUUUCUCUGUAUAACAGCCAAUAAAGCAAACUCAUCAUAAAAAAAAAAUCCACUAUAAAGUGUGUAGAACAGAGACCAUUAAUUUGCUUUGUGUAGUGUCUCUGUUGAUUACUUUCCUGUUCCUCCUCUAACCAAACCAAGUGGAUAAUCUUUCACACAUGAGUGCUUUAAUUUAAUUGCAUUAUUUCAGAAUCUCUCUAUAGUGCUGUUAUAUUAGUAUGGUAUGAUUGUAAUCAUUCAUUUUUCUGCUUCUUCUCCCAUGUGGAAACAAGUACAUUUGACCUUGAGAGGGUCCAUCCAAGAGAUUAGGGCCUGUUGCAGGUAUUAUUUGAGUGUGAGAGCACGUGUUACGCCAUCUGCUGGCCGUCUGUCUGUCUGUCUAUGGGUUUUCUCUUUUAGUCUUUUUCAGCCCUCUUCAAUCAAUCAGUCACUGAAGUCGUACAAACACCAAGCAUAUCCUUGUUUCUUUUUUUGUUAUGAAAUAAAGGACUUACCUUUCCUUGGUAGUGCAGCUUCCUUGUUGCACCGUGAUUUGACAGGUUAAAACUAGUGUAGCUGGGCCCCAAAAAAAUUUUAAACCAGUCAUAUAUGUGGUUGAUUGUGUGUGAAAAAGGGGCCUACCUACUCAGUGUAAACCAACCCGACUUACAGGUAAAGUAACCUAAAUCUAAGCAGACAAGCUAAGGAGGUCAGCUACUUUGAGGGCCAACACUUAAACCUUUGGCUUAGCACCAGAAGCACUACUUCUAUAACUCUGAUAUUAUUGAAUGAAUUGACCUUAUCGCAAAGUCCUGCCCCCCUAGUUACUGUUGCUAACUGGUUGCUAACUCAUCUCACAGUCGUCAUGAUUGCAGAUGACAACAUCCAAGACCAAUACUGUUCGUGUACUGCAGGGUAAGAUUAAAUUAAUUUACCUUAAGUAUUUAAACUAAUCUGGAGAGGCACUGAGCGUUACAGUCACUCAGCUAGUGUACUAACCUGAGCUAACAUUAGCCUUAUCUAGUUUACCAGAGGCGAAAGCUCUGUUACUACAUUGCUAAUGAUAGGUAAAUAACUGUCAGUAAAGUUAGUAAAGCUAUGUUGGUGUAAUUUACCUUAGAACAAAUGUAGACAUCCUUGUUGAUCUUCUGGAUGUUGAGUUGGCUGUGUGGUCAGCCACACAACUUAAUACAUAGCAGACACUUACUUCAACCUUUCUUUGGUUAGAAUACCUUGUGUUGGUAUUACAUCUAGAUCUGCAAACCUUUUUUUUUUUUUUCAAUUUUUUUUUUACCAUGUUUCUUUCUGUUACAUUAAAAUUAAUGCCAUAAAACAGAUGAAAAAUCACGACCUCUAAUGCUUCUCAAUGGAGCUGAAAGCUACAGAUGUCUGAGUUUCGGUCCCAGUGCAACUGAUACUAAACUCCCUUUGGCUCAUCUGCGUUCGAGGGGCGGGGCUUAGUGACAGAGGUCAAUUAGAUUCAGAGCUCUGUCACAAUAAGAAUUAUUUGCUCUGAGACUAUCCAACUAAUCAAGCCAGACUGACUGAGCUAACCAGAGCUAAAGGUCAACUUGAUUAACAAGCAAGAAGUUUACAUCGUGAUAGGUCCAGAUAGGGAAUGUGUUGAGAUGAGUAGCUCAUACAUCAGUGUCAAUGUACAUCAUCAUUAUAUAUCUACAGGGUAUGUAAGUGGCUUUAUAAAGAUAAGCUCACUAUGACCUUGAAAAUCUGUCACCACAUGUUUUCUUUUCAUCAAAAGAAAAAUACAAUCAGAAAAAACUCAAACUGUAACAGGAGAAAAAAAAACUUCUCACUAGGAAAAAAGUGGUUGGAACAUCAGGGGUAGAGCUAGAGGCAACUGUAACUAAUAACUGAGAGACCUUGAGGGGAUUGAAAAAUCAUCACUCGUCUUAUAUGAACUCUCAAGCAUGAAUUGAAUUGCAAAAUUGAAUUGAACUGAAAUGUUUUUUUCAAACAUUUAAAACAAGUUUUAUGUCUUAGUAGGGCAAGAAAACAAAAUAACAGUACCAGACUUUUAUCUGAUUUAAGAUCCAGAAACACAAACAGGACCACAAAUAGACUAUUGCAUUGAUGUAUAGUUGGCCUCCCUUUGACACUUUUACAUAAGAAACCUGCAGGAUGGAAAAGAGCAAAAUAGCACACCCACAGGCACACACAGACACACACACACUCUAAGCAGAUGAGUUUAGUGUACCAUUGUAAGACAGCAGACCUGCAGGGUGGAGAGGAAGAACUGGUGGUGUAACAAGGUUGAUAUCCUUAGAUCACAUCACCCAGUCAUGUUUAUGAAACUAGACACGGAAAGAUACUCACACACACACACAAACAUAUGCCAAAAUAUCUUAACAAUUUAGAGUUUUGCUAAAAGGAGUUAAAGACGCUCUUGAUAGUAAAAAAAAAUUCAUUCAAAAUCAUUUAUUGUUGAAAAAAAAGGCUUUAUGUUUAACAAUAAGAACGCCCAAUGGCGGAAAAUAAUAUGUUCCUCAGUGCUGUCACUCAGAGGGUUGAAAUUAAAUUGAUGGACUUACAGGAACAUAAUGAGAUUGAAGUAAAAACUGUGCUUUUACUCUGAUUUUAAGCUGAGGAGGGUCUUGUGGUGUGCAACAAUUUUUUCUACGUUGUGCGGAAGCUAGUUUUAUGUAUAUAUAUAUAUAUCAGUGGCGAUUGCUCUAAGACUGCAAGGGAAGCUCAGCUUCCCUUAAAAUGUCACCCCCCCAAAAAAAGAAAAAGUGGUGAAAUACGUACUGCUGUGUGUACAUUUCAUUAACUAAAUACGUACUAGAAAGCCUUCAUCUUUUGUUCAGACACUGUGAUAAGAAGCUGAUAAUCACAGGUAACCGGCAUAACUUUGUUCUCAUUCAUCCUCGCAGCGCCUCAGCACUUUAAACAGCCGGACGCUGGGCUUCUGCUGACUUCAAUGUGGAAGCUCAAAGUGGGUUGUUCCAGCAGCGAAACUAGACGCUCAUUGGAUAAAUGCUGGGCUUUGUCCCGCCCAAUGGAAGCUAAGCUUCACUGGAGUUCUAUGGCGAGAGGGCGGUCCCGACUUUCUCCCGGACUGCAAGCUUCUGCAUCCAUGAUUGGAUGAGCUGUCUGAGGCGAAAUCCUUUUUUGAUUGACAGCUAAACAAGCGAAUCAGCGAUCUUGAAGAAUAAAACAUCUACCAGAGCAUUUUCCAAGUCAUUCAUUCCGUUGUUCUUAACUGCUCCGGAGACUUUACCGAUCCUCAGCGACUUCUGUCUUUAUUAAAAACGACUGCCGUUGUGUUUGGCGACUCUGUUCUGUUACAUACUAAUAAACAAAUACAAUUAUGAUGUAGGCCAGAAAAAUGAGCUUCCCCUCAUUGAAAGACCAGCAGCCGCCACUGAUAUAUAUAUAUAUAUAUAUAUAUAUAUAUGUGUGUGUGUGUGUGUGUGUGUGUGUGUGUGCGUAUUUAUCAAAUCUCUCACUGCAGACUUUAACUGUCAAUAAUAUCACUCACUGUUAACCUUUGCCCUGAAAAAUGGAAGCAAAGGUUAAAGCCUCAACAGACACCUACCUUGUGGCUUUGUUUACAGGCAUAAAGAACACUAUAGUUAUGGUUCAUCAUCUCCCUGAUGGUCUUUAUAGAUCAUAAAAAGACAUCAGUACUAAUUAAAGUCUGCUUGAUAAUCAGCUAAAAACUCCUCACAGGACCUUUAAAGGUCCAUAGAGGAACUCUCAGUUUGUUUCAAUUUUGGUGUCUCCUGUAGACAAAUAACUCUUUGCUUAUCUUGUCCCCUGUUCCUCCAGAGUCACCAUUAUGUGUCAUUUAUUAUGACUACACUAAAAUAUGUGAAAAUUCACAGGGCUGUUUCUUCAGCUGCUCAGCUGACACUUAUUCCUCACACAGGUUUCACGCAUUAAAAAAUUACAAUAUUAAAAUCACCAAUCUUGUUUCUGACGUUCUUGAUGGCUUUUGUAUAUCAUAAAAAUGCAUCAAUGUGAAUUUUAGUCUAUUCCAUUGAGGUAAAAAAAAAAAGACCUUCUCACAAGAGGUUAACAGCUUGUUGAGUUCAGCUAAAUUUCUAGUAAGUAUAUACAAUGUCAGUUUUAACGUUUUCCUCUCCUCUAUUCAAGUAACACACCCUGCACCCAUCCUGCAGUGUAACACUAACGUCGUCAUAAACUUUACGUAGCAUGUUCAUAUUUAAUGAACAUUUGGCUGAUUAAACUUCUUACUUGAUGACCUGCCCUGCUACCAUAAUAAACCUUGAUUUUUCUCAUUCCCAAAAUUCAUCAAGGCCAUUUUCAGGGAUAACUUGAGCUGGGGACACAGGGACUGUCCCCCGAAAUUGGUGAUGUCUGGUCACCCUACAGUUCCUCGUUGCUAGCAAGAAACCUAGCCAGGUUGAGACUGAGAGCACUCAGAGGAUUUAUUGACCUCAAUCAGAUAUGUGUAGUUCAAGUGGUCCAUCGUCAGGUCAUUGUCGUGUUCUUCACGGCAUCGCAGUGUUUGCAGCAAACCUCGUCAUUUUUCUGCUCGAAAUGGUCCCACAUACACUUCGUCUUGCUGUCUUUGGGUUUUAUUUGACUUCUGCAUAAUCACUGCAUUGCUUCAAUACACACACUGACUGGACAGAGAGGGUAUCCCUCCUGAUUGGCAGAGGUUGGUCUUUGCUGAAAAGCAGGAUGGACGGAUGAACGCACGCUGUCUGCAUUUUUUUAAUAACAUUAGCUAGAUCAAAAUUUUGUGUGAUUGAUGUAACUCUUAACAAUCAAUUAAUCGAUCACUGAUUAAUCAUGCCCAUCCCUAGUUUAAAGACAGUGUACAGAGUGAUACAGCCAGCGUUCAUUAAAAAUGUGAGGAAACGAUGAUGAAACUUUAGAUAUGAAUUUUCAUGACACAGAAACAUUAUAUUUUUUCUUUUUAUUGUGGGGUUGGUUUUGCCUUGUGACUAAUCCAAUUUGUUUUUCAAAUUAAGAGGAUUCACACAUCACAGAUUGUGAUUUGCAUCCCAUCACUCUUUAACAAAGACAUAUUUAGCGGUAAGUUGUUUUAUAUAACAUGCCUCAUAUCUACUUACAUUUAAGUGUGAAGUAAGAUCUCAGUCCACUUUCACAGUUGUGCAGCUUUGUGAGGCUCCAAUUCAAUCUGACUACUUUGGAGAAGAAACAAGAAGGGUGUGUUGUGUUUCAUUUACUGCCAAAGUAGACAUUUGUGCAGCUCUCAGUUGGAUUCUCCCUGUGUGAUGUGUAACCUUUAUCUUUAACAGUUAAUCUGAUCCUCAAGAAAGGCACCAUCUAUCUGCUUCUGGAUAAUGAGGAAAUCAAACCCGAUUCUCACUGGAAUUUAUUUUACACUCUCAGCUUUCCACACAAUACACACACACAUUCCCAUCUUCUACACAAAAUCUCUCUCUUGCUCUUACACACACACAUACACAUACCAUACAGCCGACUCUGUGAUGGUGAUAAUGAGGGACACCUUCUCUCUGUCGGGUUCAUUUAUAUCUCUCACCAGUCCCUGGAAGUGUGAAUGUGUUUGUGUGUCUCCAGUGGAACUCCCCUCAAGCUUUUUCAUUCACCUGUUUCCCUUGUGAAUGACAUCAACCCCAUCCAAGAAGAGAGAGAAAGAAACAUAUUUAACAGAAAAUGUGAGAUCAUUUUUAACACGCUCUCUGUUCAUCUUUGUUGCUGUGGUGAAUCAGCAAGCCUCCCACACAGCAUCAAACAUCUCCCUCAUUCUUGUUUAGCAGGAAAAACAAUGGUGGGUUCUUUUAAAAAAAAGAAAGUCAGCCUUUCAGGAAUUUUUUUUUUAUACCUUUGUGAUAGUACUCUUUUUUUGUUUAAUCUGCAAAUAUAGGUACCAUUGACCUAUUUAUGUAAUCGAUCUUUCCUAACUGGCAUAUUUCCCAAUUGCAUGAAAACAGCAAAAGUUAUCCCAAUAUACAAAAAUGGAGAUAGACACCUAUUCACUAACUACAGACUCAUUUCCCUGCUCCCGCAGUUUUCAAAAAUUUUAGAAAAAUUAUUUGUACACCGACUUGACAACUUCACUGAAAAACAUAACAUUCUGUGCGAUCAACAGUAUGGUUUCAGAACAAACCGUUCAACAACAUUGGCAGUCAUGAACUUGACUGAACAGAUCUCCACAGCUAUCGAUACCAAAAAGUUUACAGCUGGUAUUUUCGUUGACCUUAGAAAGGCCUUUGAUACGAUCCAUCAUGGACUUCUAAUUACCAGAUUAGAGCAUUACGGUAUCCGAGGGGUUGCAAACUCAUGGUUAAAAAGUUACCUUGACAACAGAGAACAAUUUGUAGAAAUUAACAAUGUGAAAUCAAGUAGACAGAAAGUAAAUUGUGGAGUCCCUCAAGGAUCCGUUUUGGGGCCAAAACUGUUUAUUUUAUACAUCAAUGAUAUUUGCAAUGUGUCAAACCUUCUUAAUUAUGUCUUAUUUGCGGAUGAUACUAACUUGUUUUGUCAUGGGAAAGACCUGGAAGAGCUUCUGAAGACUAUUGAAGUGGAGUUGAACAAACUCAAAAUGUGGUUUGACCGGAACAAACUAUCCCUGAACAUAGGUAAGACAAAAUUCAUGAUAUUUGGGAACCGAAAGAUUGGAAAAGAAGUCACAUUAAGAAUAAAUAACAUCACUAUUGAAAGAGUUUACGAAUACAAAUUUCUCGGAGUAUUAAUUGACCACAAAUUAAACUGGAAACCUCACAUUGAUCUGGUAAAAAGGAAAAUGUCAAAAACCAUUGCCAUACUACAUAGAUCCAAGGAAAUCCUGAAUAAGAUCUCACUACAUAUAUCUCACUAUAUACUGUUCCCUUAUCAUCCCAUAUAUGACAUACUGUAUAGAGAUUUGAGGAAAUACCUAUAAAACAAAUGUCAAUCCUAUAUUUAUCCUACAAAAUAAGAAUAAGAAUAGUCAUGGGAGCAGAGUAUUGUGAGCCAACAAACGAUUUAUUCAUCAAACUUCAUACUCUUAAAUUCUUUGAUCUAGUUAAUCUCCAAACCUUAUUGAUUUUGUACAAAGCACAUAACAAGCUGCAGCCAUACAGUCUCCAGAAGCUGCUUGUAAUCAAAGAUACCAAAUAGGAACUUAGAAGCACAGGUAUGUUUACAAAAACACUAGUUAGGACUAAUACAAAACAACAUUGUGUAUCUGUAAAAGGUGUAAGUCUGUGGACAUGCUGCGAUAAGGAAUUGAGGAAGUGCAGUUCAAUCCACAUGUUUAAAAAAGCGUUCAAAAACAUGAUUAUAAAGUACAAGCAAGUUGAAGAAUCACUUUAGACCGACCUGAAAAAUUUUAGAGCGUGUCUGUAUCACCUAAUGGGUUUUGAAAAGUAUUUUGUUCUUGUUUAUUAUGUAUUUCUUUAUUUAAAAAUUUUUCUCUGUAUAGAAGAAAAGACAUGUAUAAAAAUGUCAUGAAAACUCUGUAUGUGGAAGGGGUAGGAGCAAUAGCUUCAGCCUACACCCUUUUUGGUCAAACCAAGUAAUUAACAGUAUUUAUUAUUUCUAACUCCCAUGUAUUAUGUAUGUAAUAUAACUGUUUACAUGAACAGAUGACCAAACUAAACUAAACUAAACUAAGCUAUGACCUUUAAUCUAUUUUUUACAUAAACUCUGGUCAAAUGGAUGUAUUCCAUUUAAAAAUAUAUACAUACAAUACUAACUAUCACUUCACUAUUGAAACAGUAUGGUGAAGCUUAAAAAGUGGGUGGAAGAAAAAUAUGAAGAAAGCACCAUUCUUCUUGUCUUUCCAAGCACUUAAUCACUCCGACAGAAGAGACUAAUUACUCUGCCUUACAGACAUAUAUGAAAACUCAAGUGACAAUUACAAAGAAAGGAAGAGGAUGAGAGCCCGCAUAGAGGAAAUAGAAAAGAUCUGCAAUAACAGCAGGCUAAAAGAAAAAAUGAGUGAGGAAAUAAUAUUUGUUUCUGCAAUCAUGUGCUCUGUCAAAGAAAUGAAACAGACUUGAUUACAAACUCGAUGAAUGGAUGUGGGUUCAAACUUGGCUUUUAAAAGGAGGAAACUGGAAUGAUGUGGCACACAGUGAAACCCUUUUACAGCUCGCAUGUUUCUGAUGACUUCCACAUUCUCAGUUAAAUGUGAGGUCUGCUGCUCCUCUUCAGAUGAGACAGCAUCUCAAGUUCUUGAACAAAAGGAGCUGUAGGAGAGCUCUGUCCAACAGAUUUUUAUUUUUUAACUCCUGAAACACAGAUUUUUUGUCACACUCUUGCUGACUUCUAGGGCUGUCUGGCCCUUUGCUUCCCUGGCAGGCAUACUCAUUUACAUUCUACCUGCCAAUUUCUACUUUUUGCCUGUCUGCCUACCCACCAUCUGUGUACUCCAAUGCUUUCUAUUGAAAGAGAAGAAGAAAUAACAUCAGUAAACAUGCCAUCCUCUACAAGUAUAAUGCAGCCUCUGUCUGCUUCUGCCAUUUCUCAUCUCACUUUAGUUUCACCUGGAGCAUCUCAGUGAUCAUACCCCAGAAGCCACUACAUUUUAUAUUAAACAAAGCUAAAACCAUGCCUGCUAAAAAAAACUUGGUAAAAGCAUGUGCCUCUUUUUAUUAAACUAUUUUACACAAUAUUAAAUCUGCAAAGUAAAACAAAGAACAAGGAUGCUACAUAUCUGCACGUCUCUCUGCAACUCUGACAGCUGCAGUUACAGACUGUUAAUCCAGGAGACAGCAUGUUUUAGAUUUGCAUUAAUGAGGUUUUAGUAACUCUCAAUCAAGAGUGAGUUUCUUUUGUUUACCUCCGAUACUUCUGGCAUUGUUUUUUGAAAAAGGUCCAUCCAGGGGAGCUGCUGAUUUUGGGCCAAUGCCACUCUGGGCCCCUCCACCUUACUGCCUAAAAACUAGCCAGACAUGAUAGCAAUAGUGUGCAUGCAAUUGAAUUAACCUCUUGAUUUAUUUAAAACAUCAGUUUACUGUUAAAGGGAUGUUGAAGGUCCAUCAGGGAAGCAUGAGAAGUUAAUUUCACAUGAACUUUCUUAUUGUGUCCAUUUCUGAUUAAAAUCUUGAGAGUCCUUGUGAGUCACAGAAUCAAUCUACUCACACCAAGCGUGAGUAAAAUCAUCCACCCACUUAAUUCACACAAAUCUAGACGUGUAAAUGAAAAGUAUUUACUCGCUUCAUUUGUGCAUUUAGAGCAGUUUAUGCUAAUUUCAAUGGUAAUCCCUGCCAAUUCAACCGGCGGGAUCCAGUGAUAGACAAAGGUUUUUUACAAUUUACCAAGUGAUCCGACCUCCGACCUAUGAUCCGACCUACGACCUAUGAUUCGGGGCACCAACACACCAACACGAUCAGUUUGUCCUCCAUUUUAGAUACCAGUGAACAACCGUUCAAUUUUAUACAUCACCAGGCAACCUUUGUGCUGAUGACACGAGUAUUCGCUCAAGUUGAGACAUUUUCAGCUCCCGCCCAAUUCGCGUCAUUCGCCUUGCCAGGGUAAUACAGGCAUCUAAUCGCAUCUUUGCAUUGACUUAACAUGUAAUUCAGUCACAGGAAUGAUUUUACUGGUGCUUGGUAUGUGGAGACAGUAACUCUUCUUAAAAUUCAAAGUCUGACCAUAAUUUGACAGGACUUUAAAAAUCUAAGACUGAAAAGUGGAGGACCAGCAGUACUAGCUCACAGGUCCUAAAACUCAAGCAUAUCAAAAGGGAUUGUGUGAGUUGACUGGCUGUCAAGGAGAAAUAAUUGCCCUUGAGCUUGCUUUGUGUAGGUAACUUUCAGCAAACAACGUUUUUAAAUUCAUGGCUAAAAGCUGGAUGAGCUGUGAUCCAACUGUAGAAAAGUCAGGUUUCAAUUUCAAAGUGCUAAAUUGAUGGAAAUUGGGUCUGACUUCUUGGCCUCUAAUUUAAAAUUCACUGGAUAAAAAACCUUUGGGUGCCAGGAUUUUUUUUUUUUUUUUGAACACAUAACAGAUUUGAUCAGUGUGGUUGAUUUGCAGGCAAAUUCCUGUGAGGUUACUAUUCAAAGCAGAGUUUCUCCAAGCUGCAAUUCAGCUCUCUUUAUCCUUAUCACCUCCUAUUCUCACUCUUAUAUUUUAUCUUCUGAGGUUAGAAAGGGCCCCAAUCUAUCUCACUUCAUAGUCUGUAUCCCUGUGAAUUUAGACACUUAUAGAUAGAGAGAGAGGGAGAGAGAGAGCUCAGAAAGUGGUGAUUCUGAUGUGUGAACAGACAGGCUCCAAUCUGGCAGCAUGACGCCUCUGUUCACAGUGGAUAGCAGAAUGACAGCUGUCUAAAAUGAACCAGUCCAACAAAGGCUAAAAGUUCAUUUGUACAUCUGCAAAUUAUAUUUUAAUUUCUUUGUGAAAGUGAUGAAAGCACUUCUUUUAAUAAUGGUUACAAGUACAUCAUCUUAAGGCUGAUUUAUGCUCAACAUUACGUACGGAUCUGGAAACUAACGGAGCUCUCUGUCCAUGCUUCGUGAUCUUUUUGUCCGUAUUUCUGCACGUAUCCAUUAGGUUUACGGAUACUGGCCAGACAGAGCAAUACCAACGGAAACCUGGGGGCAGUGUUGCUGCUAUUACUACCUGAUGUGCAUCUCUGAGAGAAAAGAAGAAGACAGUGGCAGGGCUUUCUUCUCAUUACUACUAGAGAAAAGAAUUCUCCGUCUUUCAACCACGAGGCAUUUAGUGGCCUGACCGACCUCCACUUCCUCCAAUGUUGCCUCCGUUUCUGUCUCCUAUGCAAAAUAUACAUGAUCACUAGCUCCUCCACAGCGGCCAUGCUUCUUUUUAGUUGUUGUUGUCUGAAUCUUUUGACUCCGGCCUGCCCCCUAAUGGAUAUAAUGGUUAACAUCCAUGCCAAUGUAAAGGACGCAUGGAAGUAUGUGGUACCUCCGUAUCAAACCAUUGUUUGAUAUGGAGGUGUACAUUUUCAUUUGUAUGGUGAGCAUAAAUGAGCCUUUUCAGUGAACAUUUUACUUAAAGAAGUAACUAAUUUGAAACUAUCAUCAUCAAACAAAACCCCAGUUAGCCACAUUGGAUUAUUUUGGUUAAUUUUCGUAAACUUUGGUCACUUGGAUGGAAACUUUGCUGGUUUUGAUGUCCUCCCUUUAAACCCCGACAUCUCUCAAACAACCUGAUAGACCUCAUUUCUUGUGGUUCAACAGAGACCUCAUGGACUCAAGCUGCAAAAGUGCUCUUACAUGAUACAAGAGACAGAGAAAAAAGGCCAGUAGAUAUCUUUUUGUACUUCUUAUUUUGAACAGAAUCCUUACACAACAAAUAAACCGCCGAGGUCCUUGUCCUUAUCUUUUUUUUUUUUUGCGUACAUCACUUGGCAGUUACAAAUAAAAUGGAAACACAGAAUAAGAGCUGGAGAUGUUUGCCAUGAGGGUCACGGUGUCUUGAUAACAUUUUCAGUGGUUUUUAUUGCAACAUUUUCUUCAGGUAACAGUGUGUCAUCUGCUCUCUGGUCAAUUCUCUCUGUGACUUUCUUCCUUUCUUUUUUUUUUUUUUUAUCUCCACAGCGUGACAGCCGGAUCAGGAAGAAUUGAUGCUCUCUUCACAACUUCAUACCAAACCUGUCCAGCAGGCUGUCUUAUCUGAUACCAUCCUCUAAUGACAUUUAAGGACUUUGUCAUGGAGAAGCUCUGCUCAACAAAUGAAGAGGCUGUCGUCUGAACCCUGGGAGAUUAAAGAGGCUUAUCAAGCA
This 29998-nucleotide long non-coding RNA is filed under the name Xyrichtys novacula (pearly razorfish). Lineage: Eukaryota; Metazoa; Chordata; Actinopteri; Labriformes; Labridae. The record is from RNAcentral.